AUCAGGAUAAAAGGAAGUUUUUGCUGAAGGCAGUGAGAGGGGGAAUGAAGACACAUCUAUAUUUAGGUCAGUGGUAGUGCUUGUUCUUUCUUCCCAUGGUUUAGUUCUUAUAGAGACAGGUUUCUUUUUGGCAAAUGUGUUGAAGAGAGUUCGUAUAUGUCAAUGAUGGUUCACCCUCUCCAUACGCCACAUGUUAUAGCAGCCUCAGACAAAUAAUGUCUUUGCCUGCUGGCCUUAGGGAUGCUCUGUGGGCAUUGCUCACAUUUUUUGAAGUAUGUCAUUUCACUAUAAAGCAUUCUGGUCAUGUUUAUUUCAGGGUUAAGGGCAUACUUACUACCAUAUUCAAUGUAUCCAAUCCUAUCUUCAGGCUGGAGCUCUUACUUUAGGAAGGUAGGCACAGAUUUGACUAAUAUUAUCCCAAAAUGAACAAAAAAGUCUUACAGAUGUGUUUUUUGGGGAAAAGGAUUUCUUUGGACUCAGAGAUCUUUUUAGAAAUAGUUCACUUGGUAAUAGUUGUCCCAAAAUUUCCACAAUAGAAAUAUCUGGGAAACAUUUCAAAAACUAGUUUGUCUUCACUUUCCUAUGUGAAUUGUUUAAUUGCUUCAGCACUUAUUGAAAUAUAUUUGCCUUCCUUUUCUACCAGCUAUUUUCCCACACAUGGAAAUAGUCUAGGAUAUUAGAGUCUUCAGCGUGUAUAAAGAAUAUUUUAUUCUUUUUUUUUUUUUUUUAAUUANUGUCUGCAACCUACACCACAGCUCACGGCAACACCGGAUCGUUAACCCACUGAGCAAGGGCAGGGAUCGAACCCGCAACCUCAUGGUUCCUAGUCGGAUUCGUUAACCACUGCGCCACGACGGGAACUCCAAGCAUAUUUUAUUCUUAAUGUAGAUUUUUCAACAUGUAAAAUUGAAAAUGCUCAAGUCAACUAAGAUAUCAGUUUGAGAGUUAGUUAAGAAAGUUCAAGAUGAAUAUUUCAAUCAAAACCAAGGUUUAACUCUACUAUUUCCAUGAGACCUCUUAGAGAAUUCCAUGAUCCAAAAAAAAGUAAUAAAAAAUGUUUUGGUAAAUGUUUCAGCAGUUUACUCAACAAUGAGGUAAUCCCUGAGAGAAAAAAAAAAAACUGACACCAAAAGAAAUUUAAAUAUGUAAUGAGGUAUAUACUUUAAUACAUUUUGAUUUUGAGUUUAUAAGAUAUAUCUAAGGGAAACAUCAUUUUUUAAAAGAUUUAAAUGUUAUUAAAAACAAAGGAAUUGUUAAUGAGAUGUUCAAGAUUUCUAACUUUAUAAAGACCACUUGUUAAUAUCCAUGUAUUAUCUAUUUGAAAAUAUGAAUUUAUUCAAAUUACAUUCCUGAAAAGCCACAGUAAUGUUAUAUCACAUUGGUACUUUGAAAGGAGAAUGCCAUUUCUUAUCAAAUUUCUCACUAGAACCCACAGUUAUUCUUAGGGCUGACUUGAUUAUAAGGAACUCAUAUGCCUAAUGAAUUGCUUAAAAUCUAUGAAAGAAUCUCAAAAUCACAUACAAAUCUUUUAAAUCUCAAGUCAGGGCUCAUUCAAAUACAUAAAACUUCAUCAACAAAAAUUUUUCUUUCCAUCUCUCUCUCCCUAUUUGCCUUUCUUCCUUCCCACCCUCCUUCCUUUCUACCUCGCUUCCUUUAAUGUAAAAUUAAUUUCUAUUUUUUACAUAUAUGAUAUAGUCAAAUAACAAGUUAUUACCCAGAAAUUCAAGAUUUCUAUGUAAUUUAUUAUAUCAAGUAUGCUCAGUAUUAAAAUUAUGAUGCUGGAGUUCUCGUCGUGGCUCAGUAGAAAUGAAUCUGACUAGCAUCCAUGAGGAUGCAGGUUCGAUUCCUGGCCUCACUCAGUGGAUUGAGGAUCUGGCAUUGCCAUAAGCUGUGGUGUAGGUCGCAGAUGCUGCUUGGAUCUGGCGUUGCUGUGGCUGUGGUUUAGGCCAGUGGCUACAGCUCCAAUUUGACUCCUAGCCUGGGAACCUCCACAUGCUGUGGUUGCAGCCCUUAAAAUACAAAAAUAAAAAAAAAAAA
RNAcentral lists this long non-coding RNA (2037 nucleotides) under Sus scrofa (pig). Its description in RNAcentral is "lncRNA (ENSSSCG00015053409.1)". Lineage: Eukaryota; Metazoa; Chordata; Mammalia; Artiodactyla; Suidae. The record is from RNAcentral.